RNAcentral lists this ribosomal RNA (465 nucleotides) under uncultured bacterium. RNAcentral describes it as "partial 16S ribosomal RNA". It matches the Rfam family "Bacterial small subunit ribosomal RNA", at positions 338 to 795 of the family's 1533-position model. The record is from RNAcentral.
CCUACGGGAGACAGCAGUAGGGAAUCUUCCACAAUGGGCGAAAGCCUGAUGGAGCAACGCCGCGUGGGUGAAGAAGGUCUUCGGAUCGUAAAACCCUGUUGUUAGAGAAGAAAGUGCGUGAGAGUAACUGUUCACGUUUCGACGGUAUCUAACCAGAAAGCCACGGCUAACUACGUGCCCGCAGCCGCGGUAAUACGUAGGUGGCAAGCGUUAUCCGGAUUUAUUGGGCGUAAAGGGAACGCAGGCGGUCUUUUAAGUCUGAUGUGAAAGCCUUCGGCUUAACCGGAGUAGUGCAUUGGAAACUGGGAGACUUGAGUGCAGAAGAGGAGAGUGGAACUCCAUGUGUAGCGGUGAAAUGCGUAGAUAUAUGGAAGAACACCAGUGGCGAAGGCGGCUCUCUGGUCUGUAACUGACGCUGAGGUUCGAAAGCGUGGGUAGCAAACAGGAUUAGAUACCCGAGUAGUC